UUGGCUUGAUAACUUUGCUUUUCUUCACCUUGAGUUCAGGAUUUCAACCUUCCUUCAUUAUCGCUCCAGACGGUUAAAACUGGAAACUAAAACAUGUUAUUGAUUGUAGAGGACCAGCUGAUUGGCCAAACUCAGCGUGGUUCGAACGUGAUUUUGUUAGAAGUCGUCGUAACUCAAAAAGAUGGAUGCAGACUGAGGCAGAGCAGCAUCAGCAAGAUCAGGAAGAGGAAGACGCCUACCACAGGAAGCAGAAGUAGUUCGAGGCGGUAGUCAGGCGAUGGGGGAUCGUCUGCUUCUAAACAAGAAAAUACCACAAGUUGGCCUAAAUGUAAACGAUGAAUCUGAACAGCUGCUCUGUGCUCUAAUAAUCCUUUAUAAUAGAUGUGCUUUGUGCAGAGGAAGACGUCAGAAGAACCUGAUCAAUCAAACAUUGAAUAGUGUUUGAAUCACUUAUUCGUAGCCUGAAAGUGUGAUGGCAUUUUAUUUAUUUCUCGAUGGGCACCUUCAAACUCUUUGGUUUGUUGUGGACACGUUUCACACGUCUCGGUUUCGUAGCCGUUCAUCCGUCCUCCGUCUUUCUCGGUCGUUCACCAUUUUGAAAACGUGGGUUCAUGUAAAAACCUCGAAAAAAAUGAAUCAAUGCGUGAAAGCCAGAAGUCGGCCGGAGAUGAUUAGCUGCAAGUUAAUGUCGGGUUUAUUUAAUUUCUGCUCCACAGAAGAGAAAUAAACUGUUAUUGACGUACAAAUCAGUCUUUUGAAAAACCUUCAAGAGCUCUUUGUUUGACGAAUGAAAGAGACGCGUUGUUUGUUCAUGAGGCGUGCUACUGAAACCCGAGUCGGAGGUGGCAUCGAAAAAUACUGUGUGGAAUCUCUAACUGUGGUUUUGACUGCUCAGAAUGUAAUUAUAAGAAGUCUGACUGGUCUCGUCGUAGUGUAACAGCGACGAGUCAAAGCGAUGUUGUUGGUGUGUAUACUUUUAAUUCCAGGGAGUCAAACUCGGCCAAUGAAUGUUCAAUUUUCAGGACCAGGAAGUAUCUGAUAAGUGGCGUCUACAGCUUUUAUUCUGAUCAGUUCCUGAGGUUUGCAAAGGGAGCAUCAUGCUAAUUCCAUGCUAACGUGCUGUUUUGUUGUGAUCACUUAGAGGUGAAAGAGGGUUAAUUUCUGGUCACUUUUUACCCAAACGUCCAGUCACAGUGAAGGAAGGCUCAGGGCCGAUACCGACCACCUGUCUGGCUCUUCAACCACAAAAUCUCACGAACCCACGUAGUUUCAGCUUUUCCCUUAUCCAGGGCAGGAAGUCUAUACCUUGUACCAACACUGACAACACAAACUGUGCCUGAAUUUAGCAACACGUUAGACGUUGCUUCUAAAGUGCUUUCACGAUAGCGUCUUCCAUUUUCAGCCGGGCAAAACUUUGGUGGUUACAUCCCCUCGAAGAGAAACUUCAAGAAAGGUUGGGGAGCCAAUAAGACAUGUACUAGCAUUCAAUUAGCCUCGAAUCCGUCCAAAUUCACGGAGCUACGAAAACCAAGAACUUUGUGAAGAUGCACGCAUUCAGAUCCUAAAUAUGUCGACAUCCUCAUGACUCAUAUUUUUGAUUAAAUAAGCAAAAAAGACGAA
Long non-coding RNA from Stegastes partitus (bicolor damselfish), 1620 nucleotides. RefSeq lists it as uncharacterized. The record is from RefSeq and is a predicted model, not a curated record. Lineage: Eukaryota; Metazoa; Chordata; Actinopteri; Pomacentridae. The transcript has 2 exons.